Molecule: non-coding RNA, 2491 nt
Organism: Camellia sinensis
Lineage: Eukaryota; Viridiplantae; Streptophyta; Magnoliopsida; Ericales; Theaceae
Source: RefSeq, a predicted model, not a curated record
AGUAAAAGUUGCUAAAAACACUUUUUAAUAUAUAUAUAUUAGAGUAUACUUCGUUAUCAUAGCCCACCCUACUUGAGUGGGAUAUAAGGCUUAGUUUGGUUUGGUUUGAGCAUGCUUUGUUAUGAAAAUUUCUUUGUCUAUGAACUGCAAUAUUUUUUUUUUGGGUUGAUAAAUCUAUGAACUGCAAUAUUAUUUAUCUCUCUCUCCCAACCCACCUGUAAGAAGGAGCAGUGCACUGGGAAAGAUAGAUUGGUUCUACUACCAAAACUACUCUAUUUUUGAAAACUUGAACUUCCAAUGAAUUGCCUGGUUGUAAAUGCUUGUAAAAACAAAUUUUCUUUGAAUAUCAAGGAAAAGACUUGUCCACUCCCUAUUUCCAUAGCUUGUUUAACGUCUUCAAACUUGACUUUGAGAAAGAAGUUGCUUGAUGUGAGUUGAAUUGGGUAACAGAACUGUUUGGUUAUUAAUGACAACUUUUGUUGGUUUAAUGGCCAAAAUCAUAUGAUGAUGUUGUCCUUUUGUAUAAAUUAUCAACAUCAACAAUUUGAAGGACAAACAAAUAAGUUUAUGGGAGUAGAAUAAUAUCUUUUCAAUUCAUAAGCUCUAUAAUGUAACCCAUUGUAGGUUUGGUAUUCACAAACUGCUCUAAAAGCUUAACUUGUUACAAAGGGUGUAGCUUAAAGAAUAUAUAUUGUCAACAUGCCCCCUCAUGUGUGCCAAACUCCAGAUAAGAACCAAAUUCUCAAGGUUUUAAGCAAUCGGAAAGGAUUUGAAGUUUUUUUUUAUAUUGUCAACAGGCUGCCUCUGGUAUGGCCAAAUUUAUUUUAUUGAGUUGGCAAACUCAUGCAUACCUUAAAUUUUAUUAGGUGAGCUUGAGACUUGAAUACAAGACCUUCCCAUUUUGAUGCCAUGUUAACCAACAAUGGCUCUUAAAAGAUUUUAGAGGAGUUGAGCAAAUGGUUUUUAACAUGGCAUUAAAGCAAACAAGUCUUGAGCUUGUAUUGCACAGUUACCUUAUAGAUGUCAUACACAAUUGUCAUUGGCUCGCUCAUGGACGGGAUUUUGGCCACACGAGGAAGUGCAUUGAUGAUGAAAUUUCAAAAUUAAGAUACGAAUUAUGCCCGCGCGUGAUGAAAGAAAGGAAGUUCUGGAAGAUAUACUUUAUUCUAGUUAAUAGUCAUGUGGCUCCGUGAGUAACUUGUCCUGCGUAAAUUCUUUUAUUUUUGUGUACUGACUAAGGCUUACAUUGCUUUCACAACCUAAAUCAGUCUUUGACCCAUCAGCAGAUAUUCUUGCAUCAUUUGCAUUCAUAGACAGUGCCAUUUUCUUAUAGGCUUAAUAUGACAUAUAAUAAAUAUAUAAAAUUAUAUGUUUUGCAAUUAGGUGGUGUGCUUUUCACCCAAGCUUGUUCCUCAAGUCGUGAGAUAUUAAGAGGUGUAAAUUUUUCAAUUUCUUUGCUGCAAAUUACUCUCUAGUUUAUCAAAAAAAUUGUUCAAUUUCUUACAAUGAAUGUUCGUUUGAGUGUUGUAUCUUCUUUAUUCUGCAGUUUGCAUUGGGCUGAACUCUGUAUGCAUUUUUUUUUCACAAACCAGUUGCAAAUCCAAACAAUCUGGUAUGUAAUUGUUUGGUUUGCUGUUUCUUUGUCUUCUAUGGAGAUGUCAUUACUUGAUUUCUAUGCUUCUAUAUUAGAUUGAUGCUUGUUAUUGCCCCAAUUCUAUUUAAUAUUUGGCUCAGCCUAUGUAUUGUCUUUGUUUUGUUGUUUUGCUACAAUUUUAUCUUUUGCUCACCAUGUGUUUGAUAAUAUGCCCAAACCAAUAAUAACAUACUUUCAUUGAUCACUUACUGUUGUUGAUUAGGAAAAACAACUUAAUUUUUAUUAGUUUGUUUUCCUUGCCUGCAAUAUUUCGUACCACUCUUAAUCAACAAUAUGAUUUCAUUGGAUUUUCCCUUUUGGUUCAAAAUAAACCUUUAUUAAUUACUUAAUCUAAUCAAUACAAUGGCCACGUUUAGUGUUUCUUGUAGAGAUGGGCCUGCUUUAAAUGCCUAGGCCAAGUCUAACAAAAUUGUGCACGUACUCACUACUUUUGGCAUGUAGUUUGACUAUUUGCAUAGGGCUCGCUUGUUACUUGAUCUUGUGAUAUACAAGCACAAUUCAGCUCCUAUUGUUGGUGAUAUCGCGCAAUAUAAAGCUGAACUUAAAGCUAGGGGUGAAUUGAAACGGAAGUAGAGGCUAUAGACUUUCGUCAUCCUGAAAGAAGGAAAGAUAGUGGAUAAGGUUGUGGGAGAACAAAGACGAGUUGCUACCAUUGCCAAGUGUGUCAAUGCCGCCUGAUUAAUACUAUUAUGUUUCGAUUUUUACUUUUCAUGGUGUCUGUGGACCUUUGUCAUAUGAUACAUAUUGAUUUGGCUUUGCUUCAUAAUGGAAACACACUACUAUUCAUGUCUGGGAAACUUAGACAGAGCUUUAUAAUUAACAAGAUUCUUUGCUACA